Tribolium castaneum (red flour beetle) is the source of this 950-nucleotide long non-coding RNA. RefSeq lists it as uncharacterized. NCBI's taxonomy places the organism in Eukaryota, Metazoa, Arthropoda, Insecta, Coleoptera, Tenebrionidae. The transcript has 2 exons. The record is from RefSeq and is a predicted model, not a curated record.
UUUUAAGCACAAUUAUUAGGGUUUCAUUCAUGAAGUUUUAAACGAUUAACUGCUCGAGUAGGUAUAAAUAUUUAAUUCACUUGAUCAAAGAUUUGCGCCCUUAUAGCUUCUAAGGCCCAGUUUCUUCUGGUAACAAACAUAUGGGUCAGUUCACGAAGAUUUGCGUAUAGCCACAGAUUACGUUGUAUGGCUAAUCAUUUUAAACAAUAAGAUAUGUUAAAUGAAAUGUAGUUUUUUGGCAUAUCAUCUUGUAGACCGUAAUACUUUUGCUUACACACGUCUGACUGAAUUUGUAGUGUUCAUAGCAUCAAUAACAAAUAGCCCAGUCAAAUUACACAAAAAUAAGGCGAUCGAUGGAAAAAAUUCCUGGAGAAUUGGAUUUCUUUUAAACGCUUUCUUUAGACUUAUACAUAUAGGUAAACAAAUAUCAAAAGUCCUCGAGGAUGAGCGGUGAGCUCCAGGAGGGGGAGGGAGUUGAAGAUGUCAUUUUUUAUUUUUUUGCUUACAUCUCAAAAACGAUCACUUCUAUCAGUUGCUGAUAAAAUUUCUUACAAAGGAGUUCUAUUCAUUUUUCUUGUAGGACUUUUUAAAAAUAAUAGUAGAUUCGAGACUCGACCCAUCUCUAGUAUGAUGUUGAGCAAAAACUUGCUAUCAUAAAAUCACAAUUGUGACCGUCACGAGGGUUUAUCCCUACAGUCGGUCGCUUUACCUACUGCUUUAAAAUGUGGAAAUGUUAGAAUCGAAGAAUGACGAAAAGGACCAAUAAAAUUCAAAGUCAAUCUCACAAGUUUAAUCGCAGAUUUACAUAACAGUGGCAAAACACUUUCGAGACAACCGUCAUCAUCAUCACUGCCUGAUAAUUGGUGUAAACAUGAAAAUUGCAAGAUAGGAAAAACGGGAAAACGAGAAAAAAAAAGAUAAGACUUCUGAGAAUGAAAUUGUGCAAUUAA